AUACGGAGGAUGCAGGCGUUAUCCGGAUUUAUUGGGUUUAAAGGGUGCGUAGGCGGUUUGCUAAGCGGGAGGUGAAAUGCCGGCGCUCAACGUCGGAAGUGCCUCCCGAACUGGUGGACUUGAAUGACUCUGCCGUGGGAGGAAUGUGUAGUGUAGCGGUGAAAUGCUUAGAGAUUACACAGAACACCGAUUGCGAAGGCAUCUCACGAAGGGUUGAUUGACGCUGAGGCACGAAAGCGUGGGGAUCAAACAGGAUUAGAUACCCUGGUAGUCCACGCAGUAAACGAUGAUGGCUAACCGCUGGGCUUAUCAGUUCAGUGGCCAAGCGAAAGCGAUAAGCCAUCCACCUGGGGAGUACGACCGCAAGGUUGAAACUCAAAUGAAUUGACGGGG
This 393-nucleotide ribosomal RNA is filed under the name uncultured bacterium. Its description in RNAcentral is "partial 16S ribosomal RNA". It matches the Rfam family "Bacterial small subunit ribosomal RNA", at positions 523 to 918 of the family's 1533-position model. The record is from RNAcentral.